This 91-nucleotide transfer RNA is filed under the name Streptomyces violaceusniger. RNAcentral describes it as "tRNA-Arg". Lineage: Bacteria; Bacillati; Actinomycetota; Actinomycetes; Kitasatosporales; Streptomycetaceae. The record is from RNAcentral.
GGCCGACACCGACCGGCACCAGGAGUCGCUGCGGCUCCUGCCCGCAGUCUCCGCGGGCACCGAACCGCAGAUCGCACUGCGUGCCGGCCGC